GUUAUAAAAAAAAAAUAUUAUUAGAAAUCAUAAAUUUAAAAUCCAAAAAACACCAAUUGUUCAUAAAAUAAAAUAAAAGAAAUGGUCCAUAAAAGAAAAAAAAUGUAAAAAUAAUUAGAAAACAUCUAAUAACUCGGGGGAAAUUUAGCAUGCAUCUCUUUCAUAAAAUUUACAAGUUCCACGUCUCUCCGUUUCUUGUCUUCUUUCUCCUCUCCCAUUAGCUUUUCAAGUGCUUCGAUACGGUCGUCUUUCUCUUGAAGGGCUUUCUCGAGUUCGGGAUCGCGGAUACAGAAUUGCGAUGAUGAUGUGACUCUAUACCAAUAUUUCAAAGAAAACCGUACACAUACUAAAUUUAAAAACAAUUCAACAAAAAUAUCAUCCAUAAUCCCUUAAAGAAUAUAUAUAUAUAUAUAUAUAUAUAUAUAUAUAAGUUAAAAAGUUGUAAUUUUAAAAUAUCUCUAAAUAGCAGAAUACAAAUUAUAAAGAUUCAAAUAUCAUUUACCUAAAUUUAUUUGAUUUUUUUUAAAUGCAUAAAAAAUCUACAUUAGCAUUUUUUAGAAAAUCUUUAAAAAAUACCAAAAUUAAAAACAAUUCAACAAAAAUAUAUCUAAACUAUUUUAAAAUUCGUUGAUACACUAAUAAAACCAACAAAUAUAAAUAUAAGAAUAGAUCCAUACUAAUAACAAUUAAUCUGAAAUUAUUUUAAUUUAAAUAAAAUUAAAAUUCAACCCAAUUCUAUAAAAUUGUUAAAAACCCACAAAUAUCUCCUAAUCUAACAUAACAAUCACUUAAUCUAACUUAUUUCAACACAAACAUGUAACUUUUGGGAUUCAAUUCCUAUCUAACCACCUAAAUUAUCAAAUUCACAUUACAAAACCUAAAUUCUAAUAUAAACAUGAUAUAGAUUAGUUAAGGAUGAAAAACUUACAUUGUUGAGUGAUUUGGUGAUGAAUUCUGGUAAAAACGAAGGGAGAAACUCAGAGAAUCGGAAAAAAAAAAUUUAUGGUGAAAAAUUGUGUUCGGCGGAUUGGGGAAGAAGAAGAGGGUUUAUAUAUAUCACGACAUUUCCAAC
Molecule: long non-coding RNA, 1072 nt
Filed under: Arabidopsis lyrata
Lineage: Eukaryota; Viridiplantae; Streptophyta; Magnoliopsida; Brassicales; Brassicaceae
Description: long non-coding RNA (ALYR_LNC000596)
Source: RNAcentral